AGCGAACGCUGGCGGCAGGCUUAACACAUGCAAGUCGAGCGGGCACUUCGGUGUCAGCGGCAGACGGGUGAGUAACACGUGGGAACGUACCCUUCGGUUCGGAAUAACGCUGGGAAACUAGCGCUAAUACCGGAUACGCCCUUUUGGGGAAAGGUUUACUGCCGAAGGAUCGGCCCGCGUCUGAUUAGCUAGUUGGUGGGGGAAUGGCCUACCAAGGCGACGAUCAGUAGCUGGUCUGAGAGGAUGAUCAGCCACACUGGGACUGAGACACGGCCCAGACUCCUACGGGAAGCAGCAGUGGGGAAUAUUGGACAAUGGGCGCAAGCCUGAUCCAGCCAUGCCGCGUGAGUGAUGAAGGCCUUAGGGUUGUAAAGCUCUUUUGUCCGGGACGAUAAUGACGGUACCGGAAGAAUAAGCCCCGGCUAACUUCGUG
This 433-nucleotide ribosomal RNA is filed under the name uncultured bacterium. RNAcentral describes it as "partial 16S ribosomal RNA". It matches the Rfam family "Bacterial small subunit ribosomal RNA", at positions 29 to 507 of the family's 1533-position model. The record is from RNAcentral.